This 445-nucleotide ribosomal RNA is filed under the name uncultured bacterium. RNAcentral describes it as "partial 16S ribosomal RNA". It matches the Rfam family "Bacterial small subunit ribosomal RNA", at positions 354 to 796 of the family's 1533-position model. The record is from RNAcentral.
GUAGGGAAUAUUGGGCAAUGGAUGCAAGUCUGACCCAGCCAUCCCGCGUGCCGGAAGAAGGCCCUCAGGGUUGUAAACGGCUUUUGACGGUGAAGAAUCGACAGGAUGCGUCCUGUUUUGACGGUAGCCGUUGAAUAAGCACCGGCUAACUCCGUGCCAGCAGCCGCGGUAAUACGGAGGGUGCGAGCGUUGUCCGGAUUUAUUGGGUUUAAAGGGUGCGUAGGCUGGAAGGUCAGUCAGCGGUGAAAAGCUGUCGCUUAACGAUAGUCUUGCCGCAGAUACUUCCUUUCUUGGAUGAGGAGGAGGCCACUGGAACGGAUGGUGUAGCGGUGAAAUGCAUAGAGAUCAUCCAGAACACCGAUUGCGAAGGCAGGUGGCUGUACCUUAAUCGACGCUGAUGCACGAAAGCAUGGGGAGCAAACAGGAUUAGAUACCCCUGUAGUCC